This 29-nucleotide ribosomal RNA is filed under the name Ficus cf. vasculosa LX-2012. RNAcentral describes it as "partial 28S ribosomal RNA". The record is from RNAcentral. Lineage: Eukaryota; Viridiplantae; Streptophyta; Magnoliopsida; Rosales; Moraceae.
AACGCGACCCCAGUCAGGCGGGGCUACCC